AUUUUUUUAAUAUAAAUAAAGUAUAUCUGACUUCCAAUCAGAAAGUCUAGCACCUAGAAAAAAUA
RNAcentral lists this transfer RNA (65 nucleotides) under Pseudocarcinus gigas. Its description in RNAcentral is "tRNA-Gly". Lineage: Eukaryota; Metazoa; Arthropoda; Malacostraca; Decapoda; Eriphiidae. The record is from RNAcentral.